CCCGUUUACAAGUCCCCACCACCUCCAACUCCUGUUUACAAGUCGCCACCACCACCUAAGACGCCACACUACCCUCCACAUACCCCAGUUUAUAAGUCUCCUCCUCCACGCCAUCAUCACCCCGUUUACAAGUCUCCACCACCUCCAACUCCUGUUUACAAAUCACCACCACCACCCAAGGACCCACACUACCCUCCACACACCCCAAUUUACAAGUCACCACCACCACCCAAAGAACCACACUACCCACCACAUACCCCAGUGUACAAGUCUCCACCACCACCAACUCCAGUAUACAAGUCACCACCACCACCCAAGAGGCCAUACCAUCCUCCACCAACACCAUAUCAUCCCACACCAGUUUAUAAGUCUCCACCACCACCAACUCCAGUGUACAAGUCACCACCACCCCCAACUCCCGUUUACAAAUCACCACCACCACCAGUGAAGCCAUACCAUCCCGCACCAGUAUACAAGUCUCCACCACCCCCAACUCCCAUUUACAAAUCACCACCACCACCAGUGAAGCCAUACCAUCCUAAACCUGUGUACAAGUCUCCACCACCACCAGUGAAGCCAUAUCAUCCUACACCCGUCUACAAGUCUCCACCACCACCAACUCCCGUCUACAAGUCACCACCACCACCAGUGAAGCCAUACCAUCCUACACCCGUCUACAAGUCUCCACCACCACCAACUCCCGUCUACAAGUCGCCACCACCACCAGUGAAGCCAUACCAUCCUACACCCGUAUACAAGUCUCCACCACCACCAACUCCCGUUUACAAGUCACCACCACCACCAGUGAAGCCAUAUCAUCCCUCACCAACACCAUACCACCCUACACCAGUAUACAAGUCUCCACCACCACCAACUCCCGUUUACAAGUCCCCACCACCACCAGUAAAGCCAUACCACCCUUCACCAACACCAUACCAUCCUAAACCAGUAUACAAGUCUCCACCACCACCAACUCCAGUCUACAAGUCUCCACCACCAACCCACUAUGUUUACUCCUCUCCCCCUCCUCCCUACCAUUACUAAGAAGUGAGUUUACUAUAUCUGAGGUAAUUAAGAUGAACUUAAACCUUUACAAACAUAUAUAACUAAAAUGCAAUGCAAUAAUAAGUUGCACAAUUAUUUCUUCUCUUUUGGUUAGUUUCUUUUAUAUGUUCUCAUUCACAAUAUUAUAUUGUUAUGCAGGAAAAGCAUAAUGUUGAGCUGAAAGAAAGGCAUUUUCCAUUUUCAAGAAGAAAAUUAUAGUAAAUAAUAAGGCUUACAGAAGAUCAGACGAAGUUCUUUUGUAGCUUCAUGUUAUCUAACUUGUCUUAGUGAUAUAUUGUUUUUGUACUCUAUUUUUAUAUAUUACUUUUAUGUGUCUUUGUGUAUGUUUGCUCACUUUCAAUCUUCUUGCAAAAUGCAGAGAUUAAUUAUGAGAUUAUCAUGAAUAAAAUAAGUUAUUACUACUCCCAUAUGUUUUAAUUAACUUCUCAUCACAAUAUAUAUUACCUUUGUUUUCAUUUUAUCAUGUGCUCAUAUUUAAUUUAUAAAAUUAUAAUGUGAACACAACAUUUACAAUUUUUUUCAAAUAGAACUAUUUAUAUAUAUAUAUAUAUAUAUAUAUAUAUAUAUAUAUAUAUAUAACAGGAUGCUCAAAUUAAUAACCAACGAAUUUCAUGUACUUAUGGUUAUAAUUCAAUCAAAUUCGAGUAUUGUAGUCCAUUUACGAUAACAAAAUAAAAAAAUUAUUUAAUAAUCACAUAAUACGUUGUUAAACUUUUGUAAAGUAUAUGAUUUCAGAAGCUCAAACAAAAAAUUACAAUCCAAAUAUUUUAAAAAUAAUAGUUUAAAAUUUUCACGCAUCACAUAAAUAUAUAUACUUACUCCAAGCCUAUCCUAUCCGAAAUUUUCAGCUAUUGAUGUAGCCUCUUGUCGAUACUACUAGUCUUCUCGCUACCUACUAGAAAAAUUCCAUCAAAAUAGAUUGAAUCGACGACCUAUACUUCAACUAAAGGCACGAGGGCGUAGCGAGCUUAACUAUUAUCGUAAUAUAAGAUGAAAUCCACCCAUUUUGAUAUCACAUACACGUCUUUAAAACUGAUAAAAUAAUGAGGUCUACUCUUAGUCAAAAUUAAAUGAUUGUAGACCACAUCUACAGUUCCCAAUUGUCAACAAUUCGAUCCUCCGCGUUUGUGGUAGGUUUCACUUUCAUUUCUUCGGUUCGAUUUUAUCAAAUUUUAAUUUGAUUCUUUAAUUUUUAAUUUUGGAAAAAUGUGUAUGGAAUGUUGAAUCGAAUUAAUUUGUUUAAUUAUCUUUUUAAAAAAUUAGUUUAAAACAAAAAUUGAAUUUCAAUAAAAUUUAAUGAAAAAAUUAUUCAAAUUGAUUAGGUAACCUUUUAAGUCAAAUAUCAAUAGUUGAAUAAUUUUAUAGGUAAAAUAUUCAUAAUUGAGUGACUUUGAGAUCAUACAAGAAAAUUGAGUGACUUUAUAAGAGAAAAAAUCUUAGUUAAAAUAAUUUUUUAUGAGAAAAAAUUCUUAAGUAACUUUAUGGCAUUAUAAAAAAAAAUUAACUCCUCUUUAAAUUAGAAUUACAAAAUUAAAAGUAAGUUCCAUUUUAAAGAUAAGGACAUUAUUAGUAAAAAUAAUUGGUGAACAUUUUCCAAUGAAAAAAUAAUAUUUUUCUAAAAUAGCUAAUAGAUGAUAAUUCGUUUCUUAGGCGUAAAAAUGUUAGGACAUGUUAGCCUCACUCAGUUGAAUAAAUUGCUCACCAAGAACAUAAUCAUUGAAUAUCCUAAAACAAAGUUUAAAAAUGAAUUAAAAAAAAAAUCAGUAAUAAAAAAAUACAUGCAAACUAUCUACAAAUGUAUUAUUAUUAAUUUUUAAAUAAAAAAGAGUAAAUGAAAGAGAAUAGAAGAUCUUUGACUUGUUAAUUAAGACAAAUAUUUGUCUAAUAUAAGUAUGUCGGUAAUAACAAUGUAGACUAAGAUCUGUACUUGUUUAUAUAUCCAUAUCCCUUAAUGUUAGGACCAUUAAAAUUAUUAAUUUAGUUUAACUAAUUAAUGGGAUCUUAUAAAUACAUUAAUAAUAUUACUGUUGUCGGUGAUUAAGUUAAUGCUAAUACUUAAUUGUUUUUUUUUUCCAAUUAAAAUGUCAAAGUCGUUAGAUGAACCAAAAUGGAAUCGUCCAUGAAGAUGGUACCAGAGUACAAUUAUUGAAUAAUAUCUUUUUUUUUUAACUUCAAAAAUUAAAGUGGAAUUCAAUUACCUACUUUAUAAAUGUAUGGCAACUUGGCAAUAAUUCAUUAAAUUUCAGGAAGAACAAAAACCAUCGAUAAUUGAGAUUAAUUUAAGAGAUAAAUGUCAAAAACACAUUUAAUAUAUUACAUAUUUUAAAAAAAUUCAUACUUCACCCCGUCUCUUUUCGAAAAAAUUGAUAUUAUUUUAUUUUUUUAAAAAUAGGAAUUCUAUCCAUCCUAUAUAACCUCCUGUACCUAAUUUUUUUAUAUAUAUUUUUGUGAGUUUGUAUUAGAUAUGUACAUAUAUUUUUAGGAAUUCUUUCUACUUGUGUACCAAAUAUAAAGUAAAUAAAACAUUUAUUUUUUAAAAAAGUCUUGAGGCCGUGGCAAAUAAAAAUUAUUUUCAAUAUGUUUAUAUCUAACACAAAAGGAGAAAAAGUUCGAAAGCGGACGGUUAGGUGGGGUAGGUAUAUUUUUUUUAAAGCAAAUUAGUAUAUAUAUUUUUUUGUGUGUGUGGGGUUGGGGGGGGGGGGGGGGUAAAAAAAAGUUAAAUACCUUUACAAAAGAAAUUUAAACAAAAAAAACUAAAAAAAAAAAGGGUGGGGGGAGGGUUGGACGGUUAGAGAAAGUGAUGGAGUGGGUAGGGAGGCGAGCAAAAUUGGGAGGGAGACGAGCAAACUUUGUACGUAUCGUAACCCAGAACAUGUGAAUCAAGCAAGAUACACACUAGGUACAUGUAUUUGUACGUGUCUAGAGGAAUUCACAUAUAUCUGGGAUAUCAUAUUCUUGGAAGAAUGACGAGCAAAAUGGAACAGAGGCAAGGAAGGAAAACGAGAUAUACUAUGUAUCCCAAAUACAUGCGAAUUCAAUAAAUAUAAUGUAUCUAGAACAAAUUACACCUAAAUUUGAUCGAGAUAUUCGAGAUACAUGUAUCUCAAGGCACCAAAAUCUGAUUUUUAUAUAUAUAUAUAUAUAUAUGAAAGUUUAUGUGAUCGAUAAAACUAAUAGCUUAGUAUUUCAAUGGUAUCAUUUCUACACAAAAUAGUUCUACCUCAAUUUAUGACAAAAAUGAUUUUAUUUAUAUGAGAUCAAAUUUAUAGGGUUUCGAUGACCAUGAUAAAACAGGAGAAUGUACAAAAAUACUUAAGUCCUUGUUUAUAAUAUACCAUUUUGCCAAAAUAUUUGUAGCUCGAUUAACUUUCUUAUAGAAAUGUUGAACCUUUCAAAUAAUAGUGCUUGAUAUAAUGAUAUAUUGUAAAUAUGAAAAGUGAUGUUUUUCAUUUUCCAAAGAAUACCACUAAAAUAGUUCUUUCUAACAUCAUGUAUAAAUUUUUAUGCAAGUAAAACAUUUUAAAUAAUAAUCUACGAAACUUGUUAUUUGAUCCUCAUAGAUAUUAUAACAUUUAGUUUUAGUGCUUAUGAAAAUAAUUUUGUUAGAACAAUAUUUCCAUUAUACGUAUAAAAAGUUCACAUUGUUCUUUGUUUUUAAAGAUACAAUAUCCUAAUUAUUUCAUUGUUAUUCCAUCUCUAUUAUUCAUUGAGCAUAAUUUGAAUAAUUUAUUUUUAUCAUAUUAUUACCAAUAUAAUCAUAGAAAGUCAAAUAAGAAAACUAAUUUUCCUUGUUACUAUUUCUUUGAUUAAUUGGAAUUAGAGACGACUAGUUAUUAUUAUGAGCAACUUUCACAUAUAGCAAACAAAAAAUUUAUAUUUGUAUGCUAAUUAAGCUCCAUAGCAAACAUAAAACUGUAUAAUUUGCUAUACAUAUACAAUUGUAUAAUUCGCUGGCCUAUUUCGCUGCAAUAGUAUAAUUUGUUUUGCAUACAGUUGAAUCGAAUUAAAAUGUAUGUAUAUUGCAUAAUUAUAAGUGUAUAGCAAGAAGAUAUAUGUUUUUCUCGCUUUAUACAAAAACAGAAACACAAUAUAUACACUUUUGUUGUAUAAAGCUAGAGAAAAUUGUAUUUCACUGCAAUUGUAUAAUUCGCAAUUGUAUAAUUCGUUGGCCUUUUUCUCUGCAAUAUUUGAAGUAAAAUGUUUGCAAAUUGUGUAAUUAAGUGUAUAACAUGAAGAUAUACAUUUUUGCAUGUGUAUAUACAAUUUUCUCUCGCUUUAUACAAAACAGAAACAGAAUUAUACACUUCUGUGUAUAAAGCGGGAGAGGCGAGCGAGAAUGGAGAGUGGCGAGCGAGAUUUUUGGGAGAGAGACGCUGGCAAAUUUUAGCUAAUGUUUGCUAUGGAGCAAAAUUAAAUCAAAUCCUAGCUAUUCCAUUUAAUUUAGGUUAUUAGUUUGCUAUUAUAUACAAUUUUUUCUAUUAUUAUUAAUCGGAUGCAUUUCACUCCGCACAUAAAUAACUUCCAAUAAUUUAAUAUUAAUUAUAUAUGCUCUAUUAAAUAAUUUUUAAAUAUAAAAUAAUAUUAUGGUAGAUUUGGGGGUGUCAAAAUCAAGUCAAUUUGUCAAACUCCCCUAUUCCAUUUAAUUUAUCAACUUUAACUCAUCUCAACCUAAUUUAGUUUAAUUCAUAUUUAAACAGUGAAUUGAUAUAUAAUUCAAAUUAGCUUAUCAAAAUAUUUUUAAAAUAAUAUUUUUAAAAUUUGAUAUGUUAUAUAUAGUCGUAAUAAAGAAAAAAAUAAACUUAUUAGGUGCUAAAAAAUUUUAAAAAGAGCAAACUAAACAACUAAAUUUUAGUAAAAAUUGAAGGGGUUAUAUUAGAAAUCGAAUUUAACUUAAUUAUGUCCAAUUCAUUUCAAUUCAAAUAGACAAUAGCUAAUGAUCCAUUCAUUUGUUAACUCAUUAAAAUUCAAUCGGUUCAAAUUCAGGUCAACUCUCCUAUACCAAACUUCUAGUAGAUCUUAAUCAAUAAAAAUUUGGACACGAAAACAAUUCAUUCAUUUCAUCCAUCAAAUUAUUAAUAAGUGACACCAUCUUAGCGACCCAGUUCAUUGUAUUAUAUUAAGAAAAAAUAACUUAAAUACACAAUUAUAAGUUUUAUAUUUUCUAAUUUUCCCUUCUUUUUUUUAAAUAUUACAUAAUUUCCUUUUUUUAAAAUUUUAGUGUAAGUUUAUAGAUACAUUACAUUCUCUCUCCUAUAGUACACAAUUACCCAUUUUAAUGCCUAUUUAUUCUCCAUUAAAACACUCAACCUUUUAAAUAAAAGACCUAAUUUUGAAUUUCAAAAUUCAAAAAAUUUCAAAUUUCAAAAAUCAGGUUCUCCCGUUUUUCUUACUCCAUCAAGUUUCACUUCCUUUUUUUCCAUAAUCAUCUUCCUUCUUCUUAACCUAGCAGAAUUUAUUGGUUUCUUCUUUUUAUUCUUAAUCCAUCAUCUUUUUCUUCUUAAUCUGUAAUCGUCUUAACCCAAUAUCUUUUUAUUAUUAAUCCAUCAUCAGUUCGUCUUUUCUUCUCUUUUUUCUUUUUGUUAAUUGUUCUAUUACAUUAUAGUAAUGGAUCCGUUAAUUAAUAGAAGGAUAUAUGAUUCCGACGAUGAAAAUUGGAAAGAAAAUAGGAAAAAGUUUUUGCAUGAUCCUAUGAAUCUUCAGAAGGAUUCAAACAAAGACUCUGGCGAAACAUCAAAAUCAAAGGUUAUCAAAAUACAACAAAAAAAGAAAAAAGAAGCAGCAAACAUUGUUGUUAGGCCUACAUUGUCUCGGGUUAGUAUUUUGGUACUUAAAACUGUUGUUGAAAUUAGUAAAAAUUUUAAGGAAUCUAGUGUGCUUGCCGAUACAUUUGAAUAAGUGUGUAUAGUGUUUUAGAGGUGAAUUGAUACAUGAAUUUAUUGUGUAUCAUAAUAUUUUAUAUGUAUCAUGAAGUUUUGAAAAUUGUUAUAAUGUAUCAUUCAAUAAGUUUAGUAAAUACGUCAUCAACUGUGCUUGAUGAUACAUAUAGAAUCAGUGUGUACGGUGUUUAGUCAAUUCACUGAUACAUGUAGGAGAUAUGUAUCACAUGUUUUGCAUAUAGUAUGAAUUUCUGAAAACUGAUAUCAUGUAUCAGUAAGGUAUUAGUUGUUUAGUUGAUGUACUGAUACAUGUUUGAAAAUUGUUAUAAUGUAUCAUUCACUAAGUUUAAUAAAUGCGUCAUCAACUGUACUUGAUGAUACAUAUAGAAUCAGUGUGUAUAUUGUUUAGUCGAUGUUUCUGAUACAUGCAUUAGAUACGAAAUUGAAUCUCCAACAACGAUUCCGUCGAUUUUGUAACUUUCAUACUGCAAUUCGUUCACCUAAAUUCCGGAAUGUCUCAUCAAAAUCGAAGUAUUCAUCUUGAAAAAUCCACUGUAACAACAAUAAAAUUACUGUAGUUCGAAAUUUAACAGAUUGUUCAAAAAAAUUGUUUUCAAAAUAGAUGACAUAAUCUUUGUUUUUCAAAAUUUGAAAUUAAUAUCCAAUUAAGUGCUUAUUUUAUGCUGAUUAAUGAUAUGUUACCGUAAAUUUAGCUGUUUUAUUAACAACAUUAACUGUACCGUUUUCCCCCUUUUUUUUCUCAACAGUUUAAAAUUACCAUGUAUCAUUUACCUUGUAUCACGAGAGUCUAAAGUAUCACGGCUCAACAAAUUUAAGAGAUUUUUUGUAAAUACUAAAUUUGUCUGGACAAAAUGAAAUUAUUGAAUUACACUAUAGGAUUCCUUAAAUUUUUACUUAUAUUAAUCUUUAGUAUGGGGACCUAAAUAUUUAACUUUCCAAUUCCUUUAGGGGUCAAUUUGAUUGAUUAUAAUGAGUGAAUUAUACUAUAAAAAUUGAAAUAAUAAUUAAUGUUUGUAGAGCAUAUUAAAUUAUUUUAUCAUGACUACAGUUGGUGUUAAUUGAAUUGGAAAUAAGAUAUAUACGGUAUAUAAUAUAUAUAGAAAUUUUAAUUUGAUUCGUUGAUUUUGUAUUUUCAGACAAAUUUUAUUUUUAAUUUUACCUUUCUUAAAGAACUUUUAGUUUGGUUGUUUUAUCAUGGAAUUAGCUAAUUAUUAAUCUAGAGAAUUGCUAUUCCAUAUACAACUUUGGUACAAUUAGAGAAUUAUAAUAUAAUUAAUUUCAAAAUUACUUAUAUUUAGGAACAAAAGUUUCAAUCAAACGAUAAAUAAUUGAAUAUUUUAUCUCAGAAUUAGUAUUAUUAUUAUUAAUACUAAUUAACGAUCCUAAGUUUCGAUUUUGUCACUCCGGUCCUUUUCUUUUAAUCUUUUCACAAACCAACUACAUUUGAUUGCAUUAACUAUAAAGUCCAUUUGCAUUAUUUUACAUAUCAAUUAAUAUUACUAAACUAAAUUUAUCUAUAAUUACUGAUUUAAAUGUAUACCUAUUUUCUCACCAACAUGGCAUAUAUAUUAGACUCAUUAAAAUUAAACGUUGCUUCAUGUGGUGUGUUCAAUUGGUUAGACUAUCUCGUCAAAUAUAUUGUUCGCAAAUAAACAAUGCUCAAAUGAAUGAUAUUAAUGUUGUUGGUGAAUAUUACAAGCUUCUCGUAACGUUUUGUUAGCUUACGUAUGAAUGUGCAAUAUUAUUUCUACUUAUUUUGUCAAACACUAAAAAAGUAAGUAAAAAACUUGUUUAUGUGAGAUAAUAUUUUUCUUUGUACCUAAAAAGUGCAUUAAUUUAUAUAGCUAAAAUAGUGCAAAGUUGAGGCCUCCACGCAUUAUUUUUGGUGAGAAGAAGAAUGAGAAGACUUUCUAUCUCUUUGAAUUAUUGCAUCACAAACAGUAUAGCUGCCUUAAUAGUUUAUUCAUUUGCUUAGCUUAAUGCCUCUAUCCAUCAAAUUAAAUAUACAACUAACAAGACAAAACCAAAUGAAAAUGCAUAACUCUAGGAUUUUACCUACAUUUGUAUAAAUUUUGGUAAGGGUAUCUGUCUAAAUGAAAACUAUAUAAAGGGGUUUGAGUGAAGCUUAAGAUGACAACAACUUUCUCCUUUGUUUCGAAUAUGGGGAAAAUGGCCUUUCUAGUUGCCACCCUUUUAGUGGUUUUAGUGUCACUUAGCUUAGCAUCUGAAAUUUCAGCUAAUUAUCAAUACUCAUCUCCCCCACCACCAAAGGAGCCAUACCACCCUUCACCAACACCAUAUCAUCCCACACCAGUUUACAAUUCUCCACCACCACCAAAAGAGCCAUACUACCCUCCACACACUCCAGUGUACAAGUCGCCACCACCCUCGACACCUAUUUACAAGUCGCCACCACCACCCAAAGAGCCAUACUACCCUCCACACACCCCUGCCUACAAGUCACCACCUCCACCAACUCCAGUUUACAGGUCGCCACCACCUCCCAAGGAGCCAUACUAUCCUCCACACACACCAACCUACAAGUCGCCACCUCCACCAACUCCCGUUUACAAGUCACCACCACCUCCAAAGGAACCAUACUACCCUCCACAUGCACCAACCUACAAGUCGCCACCACCUCCCAAGGAGCCAUACUACCCUCCCCACACCCCAACCUACAAGUCCUCACCUCCACCAACUCCGUUUUACAAUUCACCACCACCUCCCAAGGAACCAUACUACCCUCCUCACACACCAACCUACAAGUCGCCACCCCCACACAAGGAUCCAUACUACCCUCCACACACACCAACCUAUAAGUCACCACCUCUACCAACUCCUGUUUACAAGUUGCCACAACCACCCAAGGAGCCAUAUUACCCUCCACACACACCAACCUACAAGUCACCACCUCCACCAACUCCCAUUUACAAGUCACCACCACCUCCCAAGGAGCCAUACUACCCUCCACACACACCAACCUACAAGUUACCACCUCCACCAACUCCCGUUUAUAAGUCGUCGCCACCACCAUCCAAAGAGCCAUACUACCCUCCACACACACCAACCUACAAGUCACCACCUCCACCACCUCCCGUUUAUAAGUCUCCACCACCACCCAAGGAGCCAUACUACCCUCCACACACACCGACCUACAAGUCACCACCUCCACCAACUCCCGUUUACAAGUCCCCACCACCUCCUAAGGAGCCAUACUACCCUCCACACACACCGACCUACAAGUCACCACCUCCACCAACUCCCGUUUACAAGUCCCCACCACCUCCUAAGGAGCCAUACUACCCUCCACACACACCAACCUACAAGUCACAACCUCCACUAACUCCCGUUUAUAAGUCGUCGCCACCACCACCCAAGGAGCCAUACUACCCUCCACACACACUAACCUACAAGUCACCACCUCCACCAACUCCUGUUUAUAAGUCGCCACCACCACCCAAGGAUCCAUACUACCCUCCAAACACCCCAACUUACAAGUCGCCACCUCCACCAACUCUCAUUUACAAGGUUCCACCACCAGCCAAGGAGCCAUACUACCCUCCACACACACCGACCUACAAGUCACCACCUCCACCGACUCCCCUUUAUAAGUCCCCACCACCUCCUAAGGAGCCAUACUACCCUCCACACACACCAACCUACAAGUCACCACCUCCACCAACUCCCGUUUAUAAGUCGUCGCCACCACUACCCAAGGAGCCAUACUACCCUUCACACACACCAACCUACAAGUCACCACCUCCACCAACUCCCGUUUAUAAGUCUCCACCACCAACCAAGGAUCCAUACUACCCUCCACACGCCCCAACCUACAAGUCGCCACCUCCACCACCUCCCACUUACAAGUCGCCACCACCACCAAAGGAGCCAUACUACCCUCCACACACACCAACCUACAAGUCAUCACCUCCACCAACUCUCAUUUAUAAGUUGUUGCCACCACCACCCAAAGAGCCGUACUACCCUCCACACACACCAACCUACAAGUCACCACGUCCACCAACUCCCAUUUAUAAGUCGUCGCCGCCGCCACCCAAGGAGCCAUACUACCCUCCACACACACCAACCUACAAGUCACCACCUCCACCAACUCCCGUUUAUAAGUCGCCACCACCACCCAAGGAUCCAUACUACCCUCCACACACCCCAACCUACAAGUCGCCACCUCCACCAACUCCCGUUUACAAGUCGCCACCACCACCCAAGGAGCCAUACUACCCUCCUCACACACCAACCUAUAAGUCACCACCUCCACCAAGUCCCGUUUACAAGUCGCCACCACCACCCAAGGAUCCAUACUAUCCUCCACACACCCCAACCUACAAGUCGCCACCUCCACCAACUCCCGUUUACAAGUCGCCACCACCACCCAAGGAGCCAUACUACCCUCCUCACACACCAACCUAUAAGUCACCACCUCCACCAAGUCCCGUUUACAAGUCGCCACCACCACCCAAGGAGCCAGACUACCCUCCACACACCCCAUCCUACAAGUUACCACCUCCACCAAUUCCCAUUUACAAGUCGCCACCACCACCAACUCCUGCCUACAACUCUCCUCCACCACCUUACUAUCUUUACACCUCUCCCCCUCCUCCCUACCAUUACUAAAAAGCCACUUCAUUAUAUCGAGGUAAUUAAGACAAACUAAAACUAUUACUAAUGAUGUGUCUAAAAUGCAAAGCAAUAAGUUGCUCAAUUUCCUCAUGCAAAUCAUUAAUAUAUAGACCUAUGCAGUCUAUAUUCUUAUUUGGAUAACUUUAAUUACAUGUUCUCAUUCACAAAAUUAUAUUCUUAUGCAGGAAAAGCAAAAUGUUGAGCUUAAAGAAAGGCAUUUUACAUUUUCGAGAGACGAUGAAAAAAGAAGAAAACUAUAGUAAAUAAUAAGCCCCACAUAAGUCGAAGUUCUUUUGUAGCUUCAUGUUAUCUAAGCUAGUGAUACUGUUUGUACUCUAUUAUUUAUAUUUGUAUUUUUACUUUUAUGUCUUUCUGUAUGUUUGCUCAGUUUUAAUAUCCUAGCAAAAUGCAAAGAUUAAUUAUGAGAUGAAUAAAAUAAGUUAUUACUAUUAUACAGUUUUAUGUUUUCCUUCUCUCUGAUCUAUUCGAUCUUAAUUAGUCCUUUUUUUGGUCUUAUUUCUUCAUCUUUAUAUCGAAGGCGAGGCUCAACGAUUACAUUAAAUCAAUCAUCAUACAGAUAAAAUUGAUGACAAAUUUAACGUUAAGAUAUCAUCAAAAUCUCAAUAACAAUUUACAGAUCGAAAUCUUAGUAUCGAUUGAUUAAUAACCUAAACUUUCGCCAUGAAGACUUGAAUCCCUAAUCCCGUCCUUCAUUUCCCAUAUCUCUACCCACACAUUAUCUUUUAAGAAAGAAGAAGUAACAACCAAAAUAAACAUUAUAUCUAAAGUGAUAAUAUGAUAACAAUACAAAUAGGCAACAAUACAAUUAAAGAAAAAAAAAAAAGUUACUCCCACGAUGUCAACACGUAUGCUAGACUGACCAAUAAAGUUAGACAAAUUUCAAAAUUGACAAUAGCAAAGUAUACGUACGUAGCAUAUAGCAACCAAUCAAUGAAUAAAUUAUUCCUAAAGUAGUCAUUAUCAUCUCAUAUACUAUAUUUGGUAAAAUACUAAGAUUAAGUCAACAUAAUUCAGUCUACCGUUUGGUAAUUUAUAACAAAUAGUGACAAUAUUAAUAAAGUGAUUGGUGCUCUCUUUUGGCCCACCCCCAAGAAGAUCGUGAACGCAUAUUUUAAAUUUGAUUUGAUUACCACUUUUUAAUAUCUUUAAAAUAAAACUUGUAUAUUUAAAAAAUUAAAAAUUAUUAUUAUUAUUUAAUUAUAUAAAUAAAAUAUUUUAAAAUACAUUAGUAUCUUAAUAGAGAAAAGAUUAAAAAAUUAAAAAUUAUUAUUAUUAUUUAAUUAUAUAAAUAAAAUAUUUUAAAAUACAUUAGUAUCUUAAUAGAGAAAAGAUUGUUUGUUUGAUUUUCUAAAGUAACAGAGUCGGAUGAGAUAGUUGAUUAAUUUGACGGUUUGAAUAAUAUAAUCUUCUUGAUAAAUAAUCAUCAACCCAUCAUGCAUGUUUUAUAUUUAUUGAUAGAAACUUUGAUGGAUUGAUUUGUUGGUGCCGCCUCAACAUAGAGAAAAGAAAAAGAACAAGUUAUUUCAAUCUAUUACACUUUAGAGAUUAAAAAAAACAUUUUUUAAAGCAGUGAUAAAAUUGAUAAUAAUAAGUUGUUAAUAUGUUUGGCAAAAAGAGUGUCGAUUAACUAUUUUUUGCUAUAGUAUUGAAAUAUCUUUAGAUUUUUUAACCCCCAAAAAAGGUUUAAAACUACCUCUGUAAAGAAAAGGAGUUUAUUUUUAGAAAAUAUAUCUCGAGAAAUAAAGUAAGAUAAAGGAUAAAAUCGUGAAAGAAAAAUGUUGAUAAGCAAACAAAAAAAUCAAAGUUAGGAAUGACCAAUUUAUUGAAUAUAACUAAAUUGUCUUAAAUAAGCAACUUAGCUUAUAAAUAUAUAUAUAAAAUUAUUUUUAUAUCAGUUUGAUCAAUUAAUAAUAAAUUGAUUAUGCAUGAAAUAAUAGGAAGUGUUCUAAUUAAAAAGAAUACAAGGAAAAAGGUGCAGUAUUGUGUACGAUCGACCAAACAUACAUUCGUUAUUAAUUAUUAUUAAGCUAAUUAGACAACGCUAUCUUAUUAAUUUAUUAUAGAGCUGUCGAUAUUAGUUUAGAUAAUUAAAUUAUAUAAAAUUCAUUUAAUUCAAUCAAAGCUUGACUUGUUAAAUGUUAGGUUUAUGAUAUGAUUAAUUAUAUAUAUAAUUCACUAUGAUUUUACGCGACUUGUUAAUCAAGACCUUAUUUAACAUAUUGAUUAAGUUAUUAGUUAUAUAACUAAUAAAAAUAUAUUUUAAAUAAUAAAUGGUUAUUGAGAGAAAACUUCCAUGCAAUUAUCAUAAUAAGAAACUUCUUAAGAAAUUGUCUCUAAUUAGAUAAUUGGAUGGUGACUCUUUUGUUUAAAAAAAAUUGAAUCAAUCAAGAUUUUAUUGCUAUUAAUUGUGAACUACAAUUUGUAGAAGGGGAGCAUAAACCUAGAUAUUAACUAUGCACAACAUGAGUGUGCAAGAUUAUUUUGUUUAUUUAUUUUGAUUCAAUUCAGUAUCCGAUAUUCAUAUUAGAUUCUCAAUCAAAUUUGUAUUUACAUUAAAAAAAUUCAGUGCUCCUUAACAGAGGCAACAACUCUGUACUCAGGAGAACUCGAAUUCGAGACCUCUAAACAAGAAUAAAGAAGUAUUUGUUAUUCCAUAACAAUUUUUAUUGAUAAAAGAAACUCGUAGUAUCAUGAAAAGAUAAUAGAUUAUCUAGGCCUAAUGGAAAAUUCAGUCAAGCUUUAGAGGGAAAAUUAUGGCAUAGCAAAGUUACAAACUUUAUAGUAUGAUUAACUUAAUUACAAGACCGUUAAAUUGAAUGCAACCCCAAUAACUUUUCUUUCAAUAAAUAUUUGGCCUUUGUGAGCUUUAUUUGAACUCUCUCUUCCUUCAUAAACUUGACCAUCAGCAAUAUUUUCCUUUCCUCUUUUAUUUUAUUGCUCACUCGAUAGUCAGCUUUUAAGAUUGACUUGAUGUUUCGAUAAGCGAAAGGUGUAAAUCCAGAUUAUGCUCAAGUAUCUAAGUGAUAUAUGAAUUGCAAACUUUUUGCAUAUGCAUUUGAGAAGAAAAUAAUUAUCACAAGAAAAUAAAUAAUUAGCAUGCGGUAAAUUAUUAACGUAGUUAAAUAAUGUUAUAGUCUUAUAAAUUAAAAUAAAGACAAGGCAACAAUUGUCACUAAUUAUUUGUAUUGUUAGCAACAAAAACUAAGAGAACAUAAAUAAUAUAUACUUAAUGGCUCAAUUUUACACCAUUUCACUAUAAAUAACUUUAUGUCGCUAAUUUGAUUACAUAUUUUUGUGACGAAACUUAUUUUGUAUCCAAACUUAAACGAAUUUAAAGAUAAAUAUGAUUUAUCAUAAAUAUUCAGUAAAAACAGGGAGAAAAUUUAUCAUCAUCAAUAUCCUCAAUUUCGUCGCUAAAAUUACCUUACAAUUUGAUUUAAUUAUAAAUUGAAAAUCAAAUUUAAAAAUGAUUAAAUUUGUGAUGUUGGUGCAAAAUGCACGUAUCAAAUUAAACCCACCUUUAGGUCUAAGAAAAUGGUGAGCACAUCUUAACCAUUAUUCUUCAACUCAUUUCAUCUCUUCCUCAAUUAAUUAUGCAAAUAAUAAAAAUAUUUCUUUUUCCAUUCAAUGUCUGUGUUUUAUAUUGAAGUUCCAAUUAACUCUAGAUUAGAAACCGGAGGCGAGGGCACAUUUAAAGGUGAUGCUUCCUAUACGACUCAUGUAGUAAAAAAAAUUAUAAAAAAAACCACCACAAUAAUUAUAUACGCUUCAAAAAAAAGAAGAGAAUAGAAUAGCAUCCUAUUCAUAGAGAAAACUAUACUUGAUAGUUAACUGGUAGCAAAACUUUUGCACAAGAUUAAUUAUAUUUGUAUAGUUGAUUUAUUCAAGGUUUUAAUUAGAAGAGGUCUAGGAUUCUAUUUAUUUUUAUCCAUAUUUUUUAAACAAUAAAUUUGCUACAAAAGGAUGUCUGUGACAAAUCAUGUCUCCUAAAUAUAAGCACUUGUGUGAAGGUUAGUUGAGUGUAAAGUUGAGGCAUCCACGCAUUUUUUUUUUCAAAGGUUCUGUAAAAAGAAAACAAGAUUUUGUAGCUCUUUGAAUCAUUCUGUCACAAACAGUAUAGUUCCCUUAAUAGUUUAUACAUUUGCUUAGGAUGAUGCCUCUAUAUAUCUAUCAAAUUAAAUAUACAAACUAAAGUCAAAAUUGAGCCAACAACAUGUCAAGACUAAAUAAACAUAUGCAUAACUCUACCAUAUUACCUACAUUUGUAUAAAUUUUGGUAAGGGUAAUUUCUAAAUGAAGUCUAUAUAAAGGGGUUUGGGUGAAGCUUAAGAGGACAAAAACUUCUCUCCUUUGUUUCAAAUAUAGGGAAAAUGGCCUCUCUAGUUGCAACUCUUUUAGUGGUUUUAGUGUCACUUAGCUUACCAUCCGAAAGUUCAGCUAAUUAUCAAUACACAUCUCCCCCACCACCAAAGGAGUCAUACCACCCUUCACCAACACCUUAUCAUCCCGUACCACUUUACAAGUCUCCACCACUGCCAACUCCAGUUUACAAUUUUCCACCACCACCCAGAGAGACGUACUACCCUCCACACACUCCAGUGUACAUGCCGUCACCACCCUCGACACAAAUUUACAAGUCGCCACCACCACCCAAGGAGCCAUAUUACCCUCCACACACCCCAACCUACAAGUCGCCACCUCCACCAACUCCUAUUUACAAGUCUCCACCGCCGCCAACUCCCUUUUACAAUUCUCCACCACCACCCAAGGAGCCAUACUACACUUCGCCACCUCCACCAACUCCUACUUACAAGUACCCACCGCCACCAACUCCGGUUUACAAUUCUCCACCACCACCUAAGGAGCCAUACUACCCUCCACACACCCCAACCUACAAGUCGCCACCUCCACCAACUCCUGCUUACAAGUCUCUACCGCCGCCAAUUCCAGUUCACAAUUCUCCACCAUCACCCAAGGAGCCAUACUACCCUCCACACACCCCAACCUACAAGUCGCCACCUCCACCAACUCCUGCUUACAAGUCUCUACCGCUGCCAAUUCCAGUUCACAAUUCUCCACCAUCACCCAAGGAGCCAUACAACCCUCCACACACCCCAACCUACAAGUCGCCACCUCCACCAACUCUUGCUUACAAGUCUCCACCGCCACCAACUCCGAUUUACAAUUCUCCACCACCACCCAAGGAGCCAUACUACCCUCCACAUACCCCAACCUACAAGUCGCCACCUCCACCAACUCCCAUUUACAAGUCGCCACCGUCACCAACUCCGGUUUACGAUUCUCCACCACCACCCAAGGAGCUAUACUACCCUCCACACACCUCAACCUACAAGUCGCCACCACCACCGAAUGAGCCAUACUACCCUCCACACACACCAACAUACAAGUCGCCACCUCCACCAAUUCCAAUCUACAAGUCACCACCUCUUCCAACUCCUAUUUACAAGUCGCCACCACCACCCAAGGAGCCAUACUACCCUCCACAUACUCCACUUUCACCGUCUUCAGUUUAUAAGUCUCCACCUCCACCAACUCAUGUUUACAAGUCGCCGCCACCACCUAUAGAGCCAUACUACCCUCCACACACCCCAAUCUAUAAGUCGCCACCUCCACCGAUUCCUGUUUACAAUUCACCACCUCCACUAACUCCAGUUUAUAAGUCACCACCACCACCCAAAGAGCCUCACUACCCUCCACACACCCCAGUGUAUAAGUCACCACCACCACCCAAGGAGCCAUACUAUUCUCCACAAAAUCCAGUCUACAAGUCGCCACCUCCACCAACUCCCAGUUACAAGUCGCCAACACCACCCAAGGAGCCAUAUUAUCCUCCACAUACCCCAACUUACAAGUCACCACCUCCACCAACUCCAGUAUACAAGUCGCCGCCACCACCCAAGGAGCCAUACUACCCUCCACACACCCCGACCUACAAGUCGCCACCACCACCGAAGGAGUCAUACUAUCCUCCACACACCCCAACCUACAAGUCACCACCUCCACCAACUCCUGUUUCCAGCUCUCCACCACCACCAACUCCAGUCUACAAGUUUCCACCACCAACAGAUUAUGUUUACACCUCUCCCCCUCCUCCCUACUAUUACUAAGAAGAGAUUUCAUUAUAUCUAAGGUAAUUAAACCAAACUAAAACUUUUAAUUAUGAUAUGUCUAUAGAAGUUGCACAAUUUCUUCGUUCGAAUAAUUAAUAUAGACCUGUAUACUGUCUACAUCUUAUUUGGUUUAGGUUCUAUUAUAUGUUCUCAUUCACAAUACUAAUUAUAUUCUUAUGCAGGAAAGAUGCAGAAUGUUGAGCUAAAAGAAAAUAAGCCCACACAGGAGGCAAAGUUUUUUUGUAGCUUCAUUUUGUAUAAGUUAUUGUUUGUACCCUAUAUUAUAUUUAUAUUUUACUUCUAUUUAUUUGUGUAAUAUGUUUGUUCGAUCUCCUUGCAACAUGCAGCCAUUAUGAGAUGUAUAAAAUAUGUUAUUACUAUAUAUACUGUCUUUUUUCUUAUUUUUGUCAUCCCUUAUAUUGAGUUAUAUUUAUAAGUUGAGCCUCUUAUCAAUUACAUUAAAUCAGUUGCUAUAAAAAAUGUGGUUUUUCACCACCAAUAAGUUCAACGAUAAGCUACAAUCAACUGGGAAUAUUAGUAGCUUCAAUAGAAAAUGUUAAUAGCUCCGUUGAUUAGUUAUUUGAACUUUUUAUCUUUAUUACACGUCGCAAUAACAAUCAAUGUAAAUAUUAUAUCUAACCUCUGGACUUAUGCCCACAUAAUUCCUCAAUGCACCCACACAAAAUAUUGAAAUUAAAUAUUAUUACUUGCCUAUUUCUCUUAUCUUGAUUAUUAGUUUUCAGGGAUGAAAGUUUAAUUGUUACACCUUUCACUUUUUUAAAAAAAAAAAAAAGGAAUGGACAACCAACUGAUUUCGUAUCUGAUUGUAGUUGUUGAAGGCAUAUUGUAAUAAUUAAAUUUUCGUUUUUGAAAAAUAAUAAUCAAAAAAUAGAAAAUAUCAAUAAAUAAUAAUAUUUAAUUUUAUUUAUUUGUGCACGAUUUAACAAUCAUUAGAGAUUUCACACUAAAAUGUUUAAUUUUUUUGUUUUUUCUUUUUUUCUCUUCAUGACUAUCAACUCAAAAGUUUUGCUUUUUACCUGAAUUGAUGGAAUACUUGUUGAAAGUUUACCACGAAUGCAUAAUCAAUUUUUAAUCACAUUCGAGGAGGCAUAAAACGACUCACAACUUGAAGGCAAAAAAGAGUUGUAUGCAGAAGACUGCAAAUCAUUAUUGAAUAUUUUUUUAUAUAGGCAUCAGCUAGGGUUUGAAAUAUUUGAUCUAAUCGACUUUAGGUUUGAGAAUAUGAGUUGUGUUGGAUUAGACUUGUAAAUUUAAUAAUGGACUAACCUAAAUUUAAUCGAAAAAUUACCUAACUACAUAUAUAUUUUUUUAUCCUAUUUUCUAUUAUUUCAUAUAAUUUAUAAAAAUUACAAAAAUCUUUUUUUUCUCUCAAAUUCGCUCCUUUCAAGAUUCAUAACUUUAAAUCUUCCAACUCACAAUUUCUCCUUUUUCUCAGGCCUAUAAUCGCUCUACUAUAUUACUAGUUACCUUCAUCUCCUAUAUUUUGAAUUUUAGAUAUUUUUCUCUCUCCCGUUUAUAAUUUAAUUGAGUAUGUAUCAUAUGUUUGUUAUGUAUGUGAAGUACUAUUUUAUAACUAAAUCAUUGUUUAUCAUAUUCAUAAGUUUUUUUUAUAUGAUACAUAGCUAUGUCAAAUUAUACCGGCAUGAUACAUAAAUACUAAUUUAUGCUACAUGUAACGAUCUCAAAUCAAACAACUUAUGAGCAACAAUUACAUGUUAAAUGUAUCCCGUAACAAUACGAUACUUAUUAAUUUAAACGAGAUAAAUAAAUAGUAAUGUAUCAUGUAUUAGUUUUUAGAUGUGAUACAUAAAUUCGAAUUUGGACUACAUGUAUUAAUUACAUAGAAACUACCACGCGGUGAUGUAUCCAUCACAAAUGUAACAUCUUAUGGGCAACAAUUACUUAUUUAAUGUAUCUACUAUAAAUACAAUACUAAUCAAUUGAGACGAGAUACACAAAUAGUAAUGUAUCAUGCAAAAAAAUUUUUUACUUGAUAUGUGAAUUCGAAUUUAUACUAAAUGUAUCAAUUACAUAGCAACUACCACAUUGUAAUGUAUCGAUCUCGAAUUCAACAUCUUAUGGACUAUAAUUAUUUAUUUAGUGUAUUUAGUAUAAAUACAAUACUUAUCAAUUUAAACAAGAUACAUAAAAGUAAAAUGCUAAGUAGACAAGAUAUUCAUGAUAAUAUUCUCAAUUUUUUUGAGAUUCUUCAAUAAACUAGGAGAAGAAUUCUGAAUCUCAAAAUUUACAACAAUUUUGAAUCAAAAUUAAAAAGAUCUUUGAUGAACUGGAGAACAAAGAAUCUUAAUCUCAAAAUUUUUAACAAUCUUGAAUCAAAACUGAAAGGAAUAUCUUUGAUGAUCUUGAAGAUUCAAAAGAAAAUUGUUUAUCCAACAACAAUUUUGUCACUUUUGUAUCAUUCAUAAUUCACUUCGCUUACCCAAAAUUUCGACAAAAGUUUUUGGAUCAAAUGUGAAAGGUUUCUUUGUUGAACGGGGGGAUCAACUAGAAAUUUUAAAUUUCUUCGUUCUGUAUGGAUUUGAUUCUGUAUGAUUGAGAGUAAAAAGAAAUAUAAGCGUAAUUUAUGGAAUUUAAUUAGUUUUCAGAUUUUAUUUUCUUUUUAGCGCAACAGAAAGAUUCUUUUUGUAUUAAAAUUAGUGUAUCUAGAUGGUGGUGACUUAUGUAUUUGUUGAAGGAAGCUGAUGGAACAGGUUUGGUAGUAUAUGACUUUUUUCCUAUAUAAGGAUGAUGUAACUCAAUCAUUCAUUCAUCAAUAUAAUCCUUGAUUCUUCACAUACAUAUCUGUGAGAAUUCUACAUCCGAAAGGUACAAAUUUUAACGGAUCAUUUUAUUAGAAAAAAAUAGAGAUAAAAUAUAAUGUAUUCUUUACAUUACGAAGUUUACGUAAGUUAAUCAAAUUUGAUUAAACUUCCCUUAAAUCAUAAAAGUUUAACUUAAUAUUAUUCCAACUUUAUUAUAGAUAUAUAUAAUUGGAAAAAAAAACAAACAAAAUAGAACAUAAGAUCUCGAUCGCUGGACAAAUGUUUGUCUAUAAUAAAUAAAUAUGUCGGUAAUAAUUAUUGACUAGGUCAAUGUAGCUAAGGUUUGUACUUGUUUAUACUUACAUCCUAUCUCUUGGGACGAUUAAAAAAAUAUUAGUUUAGCUUAUUUAAUAAUGGAAUCUUAUAUGGAGUUUACUAAUUUUAUCUUUGUCGGUGAUUAAGUUAUACAAAUGAUUAAUUAUUUUUCUAAUUAAAAAGUCAAAAGUCAUUAUUGGAUGAACCAAGAAUCUUCCAUGUAUUUGAAUACUUUUUCUGUCUCCCUUAAAUCGUGAUGGCUUUUUUGUAAGUUAAAUAAUAAAAAAUUUUAUUAAUGUUUUGUUGAUAUAAGAAAUUAUAAAAUAAGUAUUUUUGUAUAAUAUAUUUAAAUUUUUAAUUUAAAUUUAAAUUUUAAAAAUUAGUUAUAUUAACUGUUAAAAAACCGUACAACGACUAAAACGGGACGGCUUGUUCUCUUCUUUCUUUUAUUAUAAAUAAAAAUAAAAAUUUAACUAAUGUGCAAUCAAUAAUGUUAAUUAUUUAUUCAAAGUUUAAAUUAAACACAUAAAAGUGAAAAGUAUAAAGCCUUCAACCGAUUCGAUUCAUUUAAUUAUGUUUCUUAAGAUAUUCCAUAUUUUCAAAUUUUAAAGAGAACUAUAAAUUCCUACAUUUAAAACUACAUACAUUAUUAAAAUGUGCCUAUAUAACACGCAUUUAAAUUAGUUGUGCUCAAAUAUAGAUAUCAAACAAGGAAUAAAACAUAAAGUGAAUUACUUAAACUAUAAUUAUAUAUUAAGUAAUUAAAUCAAAUCGUGUAAUUUAAUUAAUUAUACUACCAAAAUAUUAACUUCAACGAUAUGAAGUAACGCAAUGUACCUUUAAAGUUUCACAAAAUUUAAUUAGGUUGUAAGGUUUGAUUCUUGAAAUUUAGAAAUUAUUUUCAAGUGAUUUGAGUACAUUGAAAGUACCUAAGUCAAUAAAGUCAAAAAUAAAUUAAUUUUUACUUUGUAUCGUGACCUGUAUUCUACAUCUUGUGUGUUCCCACGAUAAUAAACUAAGAUACCAAAAAUUUCAUAGAUAUUAUAUUUAAUCAUAUAAAUUUUUUCAAUAUUGAGCUACAUAAUCCGUUGAAUUUUUUGCCCUCUAUUCCCACCUAAAACUAAAAAGAAAGAACAACAUUAAUUGCUUUAUUUAGUAAUGAAAGUGGGUCAUUAUAUAUAUAUAUAUAUAUAUAUAUAUAUAUAUAUAUAUAUAUAUAUAUAUAUAUAUAUAUAUAUUAUUUUAUUUUAUUUUAUUUUAUUUUUUUGACAACUAGGGAAACCUGAGCCGCUAUCCUAUAAAAUAGCUCGCAAAUCACAUAGGAGAGGUAACCUGCACUAGGCAAGCCUGGUGCAACGAGCUUGACCCAGAAGGCAAAUCUCUUGCUUUCGCUGGCAAGGGGUUUCAAACUUGAGACCUCCAAUAUGGAAGUUUCAAGCUCAAACCAUUGGGCCACCCCGAAGGGUUAUAUAUAUAUAACUUUUAGUAAUAUUAGAUAUUGACAUUAAUAAAGAGUGUUAAAGUCUUUAUCGGUAUCAGUUAAGUGUCAUUAGAACCAAUGUUGCUAAAGGCUUUAGGGACACAUACAAAGAAAGUUAUUGCCGCUAAAAACACUUAUUUGGCGACGUUUGAAAAUUAAUUGCCAAUAAUGAUUAUUUUUAAUAUAGUGUAUAUAUGUAUUAUUGUUUUAAAUCUCUAUACUAUUUAAGCACUAAAGGUAAUUAAAGGUUAGUUUAUCAAUCAAAAUCAAAAAAAAAUAAAUUGUUACUCCCUUAGUUCGUUUCAUAGUAGUUGAUCAUCUUACUAAAAAUAAUUGUUACACAUUAAUUGUCCAUCUUAUUAAAUCAAGAAAUCAAUAAUUAAUUUUUUCCUAUAUUAUCUAUUCAGAUAAUUCUUUUGAAAGUAUUAACAUUUGUUUGUAAAAUGUAAAAGAAGUUUUCAAGGGGUGAAUUAAUAAAAUUAUCUAGCUAGUUAAUAAAAAUGAUGGGUGAAAUAAUAUUAUCUAGCUACUUAAUAAAAAUAAUCAACUAAUAUGAGACACAUAAAAAUAGAAUUCUUCAAAUAUUUUGUAACAAAAAAAAAAAGAAAAAAGGCAGUGUACACUGAUUUUUGUAACUAAAAAUCGUGCGAAGUUGAGGGAUGCACGCAUUUUUUUCAAAGAUUUUGUAUGUAUGUAAUGUAAAAGCUUGGAAGAAAAAGAAGACUUUGUAGCUCUUUGAAUUAUUGCAUCACAAGAUGUAAAGAAAAUUGUAUGGUUGUCUUAAUAGUUUAUACAUUUUUGCUUAGCUUGCACCCUCUAUCCAAUAAAUAAAGUCAAAUUGAGCCAACAACAUGACAAAACCAAUUAUAAAAAUGAAUAAAAACUUUACCUACAUUUAUGUAAAUCUUGGUAAGGGUAAUUGUCGAAAUGAAAGCUAUAUAAAGGGGUUUGAGUGAAACUUAAAGAGGACACCAACUUCUCUUCUUUGGUUUCAAAUAUGGGGAAAAUGGCCUCUCUAGUUGCUACUCUUUUAGUGGUUUUAGUGUCACUUAGCUUUGCUUCCGAAAGCUCAGCAAACUAUCAAUACUCAUCUCCUCCACCACCAAAGAAGCCAUACCACCCUUCACCAACACCUUAUCAUCUCGCACCAGUUUACAGAUCACCACCACCACCAACUCCACUUUACAAGUCACCACCACCACCUAAGGAGCCACACUAUCCUCCACACACCCCGGUUUACAAGUCGCCACCUCCUCCAGCUCCAAUUUACAAGUCACCACCACCACCGGUGAAGCCAUACCAUCCAGCACCAGUUUAUAAGUCACCACCACCCCCUACGCCUGUUUACAAGUCACCACCACCACCAGUGAAGCCACACCAUCCUGCACCAGUAUACAAGUCUCCACCACCACCAACUCCAGUUUAUAAGUCACCACCUCCUCCAACACCCGUUUACAAGUCACCACCACCACCAGUGAAGCCAUACCAUCCUGCACCAGUAUACAAGUCACCACCACCUCCAACACCCAUUUACAAGUCACCACCACCACCAGUGAAGCCAUACCAUCCUGCACCAGUAUACAAGUCACCACCACCUCCAACACCCGUUUACAUGUCACCACCACCACCAGUGAAGCCAUACCAUCCUGCACCAGUAUACAAGUCACCACCACCUCUAACACCCGUUUACAAGUCACCACCACCACCAGUGAAGCCAUACCAUCCUGCACCAGUAUACAAAUCUCCACCACCACCAACUCCAAUUUACAAGUCACCUCCACCACCAGUGAAGCCAUACCAUCCUGCACCAGUAUACAAGUCUCCACCACCACCAACUCCAGUUUAUAAGUCACCACCACCACCGGUGAAGCCAUACCAUCCUACACCUGUGUACAAGUCUCCACCACCACCAACUCCUGUUUACAUGUCCCCACCACCACCAGUGAAGCCAUACCAUCCUACACCUGUGUACAAUUCUCCACCACCACCAACUCCCGUUUACAUGUCCCCACCACCACCAGUGAAGCCAUAUCAUCCUACACCUGUGUACAAAUCUCCACCACCACCAACUCUCGUUUACAAAUCACCACCACCACCCGUGAAGCCAUACCAUCCUUCACCAACACCACACCAUCCUACACCAGUAUACAAGUCUUCACCACCCCACUAUAUUUAUUCCUCUCCCCCUCCUCCCCACCAUUACUAAGAAGUGACUUCUUCAUUAUAUACGAGGUAAUUAAUAUAAACUUAAAACUUUCAAAAACAUAUGACUAAAAUGCAAUACAAUAAUAAGUUGCACAAUUUCUUCAUGCAAAACAUUAAUAUAAAUUAAAGACUUAUGUUGUCUACUUAUUUGGUUAGCUUUUAUCAUGUGUUCUCAUUCACUAUAUUACAUUCUUACGCAGGAAAAGCAUAAUGUUGAGGUCAAAGGAGGCAUUUUCAUUUACGAGAGACAAUGAUAAAAAGAAGAAAAUUAAAUUUUAUAUAGUAAAUAAUAAGGCGGAGUUCUUUUGUAGCUUCAUUUUAUCUAAUUUAGUGAUAUUGUUUUUGUACUCUAUUUUUAUAUUUUAUUUUUAUGUCUUUGUGUAUGUUUGUUCGAUCUCCUUGCUAAAUGCGGAGAUUAUGAGAUGAAUAAAAUCAAUUAUUACAAUAUAUAUGUUUUACCCUUCUCUGUCGUGUUUAAAUAUAGACUAUAAAACGCAAUGAUUAAUUUCAAGAUAUAAAAAAAUGUUGAAAAGGUUUGUAAAGUGGAACUAAUUAUAAUUAAGAGAGUCAGUUUAAGGCAGUGCCAAUCUGAUCUAAUCAAUUAAAGGCCCAAGUUUAGCAUGCAUGGGAAGAGUAGUAACUUGUGAUUCUAUUACUUAUAUUUAUUUUUUUACAUUUUAUUUCACAUUUAUGUAUUAUUAUUUAAUUUACGUAUUAUUUUAUACUAUUAGAAAAAAGAUAACAAUAAUAUUUUUGCAACAUUAAAGAAAAGAAGAAAAAUAAUAAUUAAAUAUUUUAACCCUAAAACAAUACCGAAACAGAAUUUAUUUAUUUUUUCAAAAGCAUUUUUCUAAAAAAUUGUUUAUGAAAAUAAGCAAUUUUUAAUAGCAAUUUUGAAUGUGCACAGGGUAAACCCCCGCUCCUAUGCAAUAGCUCGCAAAUCACAUAGGAAAGGUAACCCGCACUAGGCAAGCCGUAUACGACGAGCUCGACCCAGAAGGUAAACCCCUUGCUUUCGCUGGCAAGAGGUUUCGUACUUGAGACUUCCAACAUGGAAGUCCCAAGUUCAUAUUACUUUAUAUUUUUUUAAUUAAAAAAUUAUUCAAAUUUAAUUUAUUUUUUUUACUUAAAAGCUAUUUUUUGAAGUCAAUCCAUAGAGAUUAUGGAAGUCUCAAGUUCAUAUCACUUUAUAUUUUUUUAAUUAAACAAUUAUUCAAAUUUAAUUUUUUUUUUAUUUUUUACUUAAAAGCUAUUUUUUUUAAAGUCAAUCCAUAGAAAUUCUUAGUCCCUAAACGUCGACGUUUGCUAGAUUGAUCAAUAGAUUAAAAAAAUAAUAGGGAAAGGCAUAUAUUCCACCUGAACUUGUACUGAAAAGUCAGUCACUCAAAUUAUCAUGACUACCUAUUACAUACCUAUACUAUUCAAAAGUUAAUCUUUUACCCCCUAAAAUCGACGUGAUAAAAUAAAAUAAAAAUAAAUCAGGUGCUUCAAAUAAUUACUAGAAAAAAAAAAGUUAAAAAAAAACAUAAUUCUCCUUAUAUCCCCAACCCCCACCUCCCUUCUUCUUCGUACCUCAUACACACACACACCCGCCCCUUACAUCUCUUCUUCUUCAUACCACACUCUUUUCAUAUUCUUCACACCCAAAAAAGCUUAAAGGAAUCGGUAACAAGAGGCAAUAACAAUAAGUCACUUCAAAACAUCAUUUUUUACCCAUAAAUGUCCCAACAAGAAAUCAAAAUAGUACUAGGUGACAUAAUUAAGUUUUGUGGGUUUGAUUUGUGUUUGUUUAUGUCAUCGGAGGGUAAAAGUUUGGGGAUUCUUCGUCGUGGAGCUAUGGUUGAACUGUUUAAUAAACUCGAUGAACGAUCGAUUGAAAAAGCAAAGGAAAUUAUUUUCCCAUCAUUACUAUAUUUUAAGAAACGUCCAUGAAGAACAAUGAAAAAGUAAAAAUUGUGUUUGAAUCUGAAAAAUACUUGCAAUUGGACCUCGAUUUUCAUGGUCAAUCAAUGGAAGAAAUUGAAGGAGUCUUUCUGAGGUUCAUGUUGGAACGAAAGAAAUUAUUUAACCAUACAAAUCAACUUCAAAUUUCAGAAUGUUUUCUUGACGAUCAUUGUAAAAAACUUCUUCUUUGCAAUUAUGCUAUGAAGAAGAUAAAACUAUUAGAAAAAUUUAUAAUUAAUUAGAAACUAAUUAAUAUAAAAUAUAGCAAGCAAAAGAAAAAGUUAUUUUCUGACAUUGCGUUGACGUAUCGUUGAUGUGGCAGCUAGCGUAAUAUACCACAUAAUGUGAGAGAGGUAACACCUUGUAGGAUGGUAUAAGUUUACUUUUAGAUAGUAUAAAUAUGUAAUGAAUCGUCAUAAUAGCUUAAGUGUAUAACUGACUUUUCAAAAUAAAUUUAAACAGAAAUUUAUGUCUUUUCUCAAAAUAAUAUUAUCAAAAUUGCAAUAGUAAAGUGGCAAAAAUUUAUGGCGAAAAAGAGUGGUUAACUGCAUGCUAAAAUUAAAUAUGACUAGUAUGUAGGUACGUAGCAUAUAGCAAUCAUCCUGAAUAGCAUGAAGUCAUCACUAUAGUCAAAACGUUUGGUAACUAUUUUGUAUCCACAUCGAAAAUUUCAACAUUUUAAAUUUUUAAAUUUUAAAAACUCAUACAAUAAUUUAAAAUAUUUAAAACUAUAAGAUUGAAACAAAUAGGGAGCCUGUAAGAAUUAUUUCCUUAUUUUAAUUUGUUUACUUUUAUUUUACUUAUUAAUCCUUUCAAAAAGGGACGUUAAUCAUUUUACAAUAUUUUAAUUUUAAUUUUUUAUAUGAUAUAUUUAAGAUUUUAAAAUUAAAAAAUGUUAAAUAUAUUUUACAUAUUUUUUAUUCAACGCUAUAAAAUUCAAAAUUAAUCUUUACUUUCUAAAGUUGGUCCACAAUAUUAAUAAACUUGGUCCUCUUUAGAAAGUAAAGAUUAAUUUUUAAUUUUAAAGAAAAGACAGCUACAAAGUGAAAAGAAAUUUAGGAGUUUUAAUAUUUAGCAAUAUAUUUGAGAAUUAAGUAAAAUAAAAUAGUUUUUAAAUUUUUUGUGAAAUAAAAGUACCUAUAAAUUGAAAAGUCAUAAAUUAAAAAUGAUUAACUUAUAAAUUUUUAGCUAACUUUAUCUUACAAUUUUAUUUAGCUGUUAGCUUUUUUUUAAAAUUAAAAUAAGUCAGGAUUUUAUUACUAGUGAUUGAUAAAUACAAUUUAAAGAAGGGAAACAAAAUUAAAGUUAGAUAGUUAAGAAUAUCUCCCAUUUUGAUUAUAACAUGCUUCUCAAUUAAGAGUAACAAUUUUUUUAUUAAUUAUUUAUAGGGAUUUCACUAGCAAAAAUUGACAAAAUGUGAGAUCACAUACUCACAAUUCCAUUAAUGAAUAGUAUUGAUUUAUCGAAAAGUUGUAUUACAUUCAAAACGAGCUUUGUACUUGAGUCUUAUUAGCACAAUCUAAAAAAUAUUUUAUAAUUUGAAUUCUCAUUUCCUAAGGAACUAACUACUUAAAAUAAUCUUAACUAACUAAACACUAUAACAAAAACGUCAUUUCAUGACAAUAAAUAUACACAUUAAUAAAGAGUAUUAGAACAUUUAUAUGUAUAAGUUAAUUAUCGUCGAAUCUAAUGUCUCUAAAAAUUUAAGAGACAUUUACAAAAAAUUGUAAUUGCUGCUAGAAAUAUAUAUUUAGUUACAAUUAAAUUAUUGUCGCUAAAUAUUAUUUUUGAUGUAGUGAAAGGAUCAGGUCCACUGUGUAUCACAACCAACUAAUGGACCAGAUUCAUUAUUUGAUGCAUUUGAACAAAUAUGACUACAAGUCUAUUAAAGAAAGUUGAAUUUAUUAUAUUAAAGAAAGUUGAAUUUAUUAUUAAAAAAAAGUUAAAUUAAGAAUAAAACUAAUAGCUAGAUUCCAAUCAAAGUAAAAUGAAUUUUAGCCAUCAAGACGCAAACGGCAAAUACAUACGCAUUAAAAAAAAUAAUUAAAUUUUGGGAUAUUUUUCAUUUUUUAAAUUAAUUUAAUUAUUUGAUUUUCAAGACUACUUUAGAGUGUUUUUUCAAUUUAUUCUUCAUUAGUUAGUAUUGAAAUUAGUGGUUUAUUAAUAUUUAGUUAUUUUAAUUAUGAAUUUGAUAAUAAUUUAUAAAGAUAAAAAAUUGAAAAAUUAUAUUCAAUUUAUAUCUUAAUCUAAUUUUCUUAAAAAAUAUAAAAUAUCUUAAAGAUUCAAUUAGUAUGGAAUGAAGAGAGUGGUGAUUUAGAAAGGAUUCAGAGUUAACAGUAGUGCCAAAUGAAUGUUAUUGCUAAAGAAUUAUUCGAAUCGAAAUUUAGCGGUGCUGAAAAAAUUAUUCCAACGACUUUCUAAUCAUAUCUGAAAGUACACCUAACACAUCCUGAGUUAGCUAGAAGUUAUAACCAUUUAAAAUUGACCAAAAACUCACUUUAACUUGUCAAAUUUCAAGCUUUUCAAUUCAUUUCAAAAAAUAAAUAUUUCCAAUUUUCUACACUUCCUUCUAGUUUCUUUUUAGUUGCGAGAUGUUACAUCUUUUUUCUCAAUUUUCUCACUCAAAUUUGAACUCAAACUUUUUGGAAGACGUAGUAAUAAAUAUUAGUUGAAACUGAUAAAUGAUGAGUACUUUUUAUGAAAAUAAAAAAAAAUAGAUGAGAUUGAAUUUCUUAAAAUUUUCAAAUAUUAGAAAUUGUCGCAAAUACUAGUUUUUUUUUUAAUAUUUGAAAUACUUAGCAAAUAUAUUUGCCACAUCAUAUUGCCAAAACACCAUUUCCUAAUUUUCCCUAAAUUUUCCUGAUUUUUUUCCAGCCAAUCGGGUUAGUCAUCGUUAUCAAUUAAUAUUAUUAUCUGAUUGGAAAUAAUAAAUGAUGCAAGUCUUUAAAAUAAUAGACUUAAAAGACAAAUAAUGGAAGUCUUUGAAAUAAUAGACUUAAAAGUAUUUGACGAAAUAUUUAUUUGUUAAAAGAAAUAUUUAAGAAAGUUACUAGUGAAUUUCCACAUGGAAAAAAUCAAAAUGCUACAAGCACAUCUAUGAAUAUAAAGAAGACAUUAGUAAGGAGGAUAAAGUUGAUAAAAUUGUUAUUUCCCCCUUAAUUUUUCUUUUUUUUUCUAUUCUUGAUUUAAUUUUCUUUUGAAAAAUUGAUAAAGUUUGGGAAAAAAAAUUCAAAAACUUAAAACAGAUAUACUUGAUGUAUCCUAAUUUUUGUAAAUCUUUUGUCUAAUAUUUAUGCAUUAUGUUAUUGAAAUAUAUAUGAAAGCAGCAAAAAUUUAUAAUUUUAGUUAUAUUAUUAAUUAUUGACAUAAUCAAAUAAUUAAAUUUUAAAAAAUUCAAAUCAAAUAAAGGAAAAUCAAAUUAAAUAAAACAAUUUAUUUUGAUUCAAAAUGAAUUAUAUAUUUUUAAAAUUAAAAAUCGAAAAAUCCAAAAAAUAGUUGUAUAAAAUCGAAUACAUACCCCCUUAUAAGGCCCCAACCGUAGUCACUCUCUUUCUCUCACCCUCCCUCUAUUCUACCAAACCACAUUCUUUUCUAAAAUUUUAAAAUUAACAAAUAGUUUUAAUAUAAACAUACUGAAAUUAUUCUAUUUCUAAAUUUCUAAAACUUUUUUUUUUUUUUAUCAUUUUGUUGUAACAACCUUCAUUCAUCAUGGAUGAAGUUUAAGGAAAUAGUGGCUAAAAAUAGGAAAGAAGAAGAAAGAAAAAAAAUAAUCAAAAAUUAGCUAAAUCAAUUUUUCACACGAUGUCAACCAAUAAAUCAGAUUAAUUAUGUCAUGUCGGUAAAAAAAUGUUCAAAUAAUACAUCGGGUCCAAGUCAUGACAUAAGAAGUUUUAAAUUAAAAAAAAAAAUUGACAAAAAUUAAUAUCAAUAAUUUAGGUAGCCAUUAAUGGAUACAAUCUAAAAAUUAAGUUGAGUAGAUCAAAUACAAUUAUGGGAAAGAAUCUGAUAUCAAUAAUGCAUGAUAAAGUAAAUAAUAUAUAGUACUUAAUAAGUUACUAUUAUCUACAUAAUUUUUCAUUAUGAGAACAGAAAAAAGUUAUUUUUCCUCUAUUGUUUAUGAAAGUGACUUUGCAGAAUAUUAUAUAGGUGAAAAGGAUCUCAUAACAGUAGAAUAUAUAUUAAUUUCUUAUUCAAGAAAAUUACAAUUAUGACUUCAGAAAAAGUUUAGGGAAAUAUUAUAAUAUCGACAAAAUUACGUUGGAUAGCACUACUCUAUUGUAUGACUUAUUUAGCCACCAUUUAAUAAUGAAAAAAUAGUAUAUAAUAGCAAACUAUUAAUUCAAAUUAAAUGUUAUAACUAUAGUUUGAUUUAAUUAAAUUUGAUAGCAAACUAAUGUUAUCUCGCUUCUCUGGUGAAUCUCGUUCGCCGCUCUCGUUUCUCUCUCUUUUAUACAAACACAAAUGUAUAAAAUAUUUUUGUGUUUGUAUAAAAUGAGAGAAAGUUGUAUUUAUACAUAUAUUUCGUUCUCCUCUCUUCCCUCUCCCAGAUCUCACUCGCUCUCUCACUUAAUACAAAUAAAAAUGUAUAGAUUAUGUUUGUAUAAAGCGAGAAAAAAUUGUGUAUACAAAUACAAAUACAAUAUUCCCUGCCUAGUUUUCUUUUGUCUUUCUCUCUUUCUUUCUUUAUACAAAUACAAAUUACACAAUUGAUCUUUUGUAUAUAUAUACCAAAGCAGAUUCUGCAACUAUUUUCUUUUGUAGAUGUAUAACGAAAUUAUACAACGUUUUUCUUUUGUAUAUGUAUAGCGAAAUAUAUAUAUUUAUGUUUGUUAUGGAGCACAACUAUGCAAACUAUAACUAUAGCAUACAAAUAUGAUUUUUAUGUUCGCUAUAUGUGAAAGUUACUCUUUUAUUAAUUUGAUAUUAGAGGAGACGGAGAUUUUAAGUUCUAAGUCACCAAAAAUUCAUACUAUAAAAAGGAAUUAAGCAUGUCAUUAUAUGUAAGAGGUUGGGUCGUGUUUUAAUUUAUGUGGCAUUUUUUCAAUUUUGAAAAAUAAAUAUUUUAUUGUUAUUUUGAUUUUGGACAUAAAACUCUGAAGUUUUUUAAUUUAAAGUUACAUAAAACAUAUUAUUUUGUGUGUCCCAAUUUAUAUGACUUUUUUUUAUUUUAGUUAAUCCAAAAAAAUGAAAUAUUUUUAUAUUUUGUGACAAAUUCUCGAUUUAAUAUUUUUAUUACCUUAAAUAAAAUAAUUUAUGAAUUAUUUUAGAUCAAAAGUUUCAAAAGUCUUAAUUUAACUCUUCAACUUCGUACAUAAUCAAACGUUUUCACAUUAAUAAUUGGGAUGGGGAAAGCAAAAGUAUAUAUAUAUCUAUAAUAUAUAUAUAUAUAUAUAUAUAUAUAUAUAUAUAUAUAUAUAUAUAUAUAUAUAUAUAUAUAUAUAUAUAUAUAUAUAUAUAUAUACACACUCAAUGGGUCAAGCAUAAAAUCAGUAAUUCUCGCCCAAAAGUUCAUAUCAUCCUCAAUGAAUUGAAAAGAUAAUUCGAAUUAUUUAAUCUUGAAUCAGAGAUCUCACGAUUACUUUAAAUUAUUUAAAAUUUAAAUUUUCCAAAUCGAUCUUAUAAUUUUUUUUUUUAUUUUAUCCCUGCCUUAUCUGAAUAUGUAGGAAGCGGUAUACCUCAUAGUAGACUCACCUAUACCGAUCCAAAUUAAUUGAGCCAGUACUAUUAAAUAUCGAAUAAUUAAACUGAAGUAACUUCCAUGUCAACUCUUACUUCUAUUUAUUUAUAUACAUAAAUGUAAUAAAGAAAAGCCACAUGAUUGUUUUCUAAUUUUAAAUCAGAAAAUACUAAUUUAGGAGAGAAGGCAACCAAUUAAUUUUUUUAAACCAAAUAUAAAAUAAGUAAUAAUUAGCAAAAAAAGACAAGAGUGGUUUAAAAUAAAGUUAAGGAGAUCUUGGAAUUGUUGUCCAAGUGGAAGGUAAACGCGUAGAAAUUGACGUGCAUAACAUGCAAAAAAAAAAAAUUAAAAAAUUAAAGUAGGUGAGAUUUGGACUCUUAUUUUUAUAAACAAAAAAACAAAAGGGAAGCUACUGACUCAUAUUUAACGACUUUUCAAUUUUAUUUUACGUUUGAUAUUCGUAUUAAAGACUGAUUAACUCAUUUCACAUUAUGCAGAUUAUAAUCAUGAAAAAAAAUACUCUCCAUCAAUAAUAUUCUUAUAAUCAAGUUUUUAACUCAAAAUUUUGACUAAAAAAAUACAAUAUCAUCUAUUAUAUCAUAUUUUUUGACGAUAAUAUUUAACCAGUUAUAAAAUAACAAUAUUUUUUCCUUUAAGAAAAAUAUCCAAAAAGGUACAUUGCAAUUGUAUAGCUCAGCCACUUGACUAUAUAACGCGGGAUUCCCUUGCUUUGUUAUAUAUGUCUUUUACUUUUUAUUUUAUUUGAAUCUAUAAUUGUGAUGAUUGAAUUUGAAUCACUUAACAUGUAUAUUUUUAUAUAUAAAAACUAGUUAUCGAUAAUGAGCCUAGUAAUAUUAACUUUAUGUUUAUAAUUAAUUUAAGUCGUAAAAACAAUUUACAGUUAGUUAUAAAAUGUAAUAAUACUUCAUCAAAAUAAUGGGAAAGCUUGAUCAAUCAAUAAUUGUUUCUUAAAAGACUCUUUUUAGUUUAUUGGUCAAAUAAAAGCGAGUUUUAACAAAAAAAAAAUAAAAUUAAAAGCAUUUCUCAAUAUAAAUUAAAUUCAAAAGUUUUAUCAAAUAGGUUAUUAGACAGAAAUAUUUUAAUGAAUAAUGUCAUAGUUCCAUCAUUUUAAUAUAAAUAAUGAGAUAUAUUGAAUUUAUCAUUUAACUUUUAUUAAUUGAUAUGAUUUCAAAUAUAUUUACUUACGAUAUUUUAAAAAAAAUAUUAACUCAAUAUUAAUAACCGAAAUAAUAAAUAAAAUUAAAGAUUAUUUAACAAGUAAAUUGGACCUGAGGAGCAAUAUAUAAGUAAUUUCAACUUGUGUCACAUAGUACAAUAUAAGGGCCGCCAUGGUACUUUUUAUCCACCAACUUUGAAGGUGUGUGGUUGGUAUAUAGGAAAUAAGUUAGAAUACACGUCCGUUCGGUAUUAUUUGUUAUAAUUUUUAUUUUUAAAGUUAAAUAAUAAAAAAUUUAACUAAUAUUUUAAGAUGUAUUUCUUUAUCAUAUUAAUAUGCAAAAAAUUAUAAUCGAUAAUAUUUUUCAUACAAUUUUAAAAUAACUAAUCUUUUUAAAAAAAAAUUAAUAUGAUCUAAUUUAUCUAUAAAAAUUAGUCAAAUUAACUUUUGAAAAAUAUAACAUGAUAAACCAUAGAAAAAGUUAACUAGUUCGGUGAAUUUAGAGUUGUGGUUCAAAACAUGUUAGUAUUAAAAAGAAUAGAAUUAUAUUUAAUUUUUUUAUGCUAUAAUAGUUAUGAUUGUUUUGUGCAGUUUCAUUUUAUAUAAUGAAUUAUAAACGUUUAAUUUAUGAAGAACAAAUUCUUAUUUUUCACCAUACCUACCCUUUCACAUUACAAUAAAAUAACUUUCAAAGGUAAUAAAUAGAUACAUGUAUCAAGAGUGUUAAAUUUUUUAUCAAUAUCAGUUAAGUGUCAUAUACAAAAGAAUUUUAGUUACUGUUAGAAAUAUAUAUUUAACGAUAAUUAUUAAUUAAUUACACUAAAAUUCAUUUUUAAUAUAAUAUCACUUUAUCAAUAACGAAUAUAACACAAUAGAUAAAAAUAUUUUUUUAAAACUUAGAGUUUAUAAAUUUGAUCCUUUAAAAAAUUUAGAUAGGAAAGCUUGCCCACAAAAUAAAGUUUUAUGCGAUAGUAAUACGAAGACAAUAAGAUAAAAGAGUCAUUCACCUUUUACUUUUUUGAAAAUUUCAAAUUCAAUCACAUCAACAUCAAAGUUUGAGACUAUUUUAAUUAAAUCAAAUAGUAUUGAGACUUUAAAGAGUUAGUUAUUGCUUUAAAUGUAAUUUUCUACCUCCACGUAGGAUCAUUUUGACUGAAAAAUCAUCUUCGAUUGAAAAUAUUUAAUGCCGUAUAUCAAUUGUACUACGUUUCUAUGGUUAAUACCAUAUAAUAUUAUUGUUCAUGCGUUAAAAUUUCAAACUUAAUUAGGUACAACGUAAUUUCAAAGGUUUACUCUAACGACAUAAUCAAAUACUUAUAAUUUUAUUAAAAGAAAAUUAGAAUAGGUCGGUUUCACUUAUAUUGUUGAAAUUUACAUCGUCAAAAAAAGAAGAUUAUUUUUUUUGCUUUUUUACAUAAAGUAAGAAAAUAAAUUUUAAGCUUUACUUAAUUUUAAAUCAUAGCUUAAGAUAUAAAGAUUGUUCAAACAGUAUUAAGAGACCGUCCAUUUCGUAAAGGGUGGAUAUAUUUAGGACUUUUUACUUCAAUUAUUUAAUAUUGAAUUUCAAUAUUAAAAUAAAAAUUGAAAUGAAUCAUUUUAGGACUAACUCAUCCUUCAAAAUUAGCUUUAGAUAUAGAAAAAUUCCAAGACAAAUAAAUCAUCUAUUGAUAAAAUUAAAUGUGAGACUCUUCAAAAGAAUCGAAAUAUGAGCACAUUAAAAUUUCCUAAAUUAAAUGAACUUUUUUCUUUUCACAAAAUAAGAAAGUUCAAUACAUAAGGAGAAAGAAAAGAAUGCACAAAGGAACCCAAAUUUACCAUGUUUUUAUAAGAAUGAAAAUAUUUUUUUUAUAUAGAAAACAUGUUUUAAAAAAUAAAUACAUUCAUAACUAUAUAGAACAAAAAUAUUAUUUUGAUUUUUUUGAAAUAUUUGGCUAAUUAAAUAUGAAAAAAAAAUUAUUGUGUGAUAGAUUCCCACAAUGUAUACUUGUAGUAUUUAUAUUUUAUAAUAUAAGUAUAUAUUAAUGAUAUGAUUAUCUUUACUUAUUUUAUUGGUAAGAAAAUGUAUACAUGUGUAAUAACUAAAGUUUCACAUGCUUUCUACUUUUCUUCUAGAAUUAUGAUUAUUUUGAUUAUUUUAUUUAUAUUCUUUGGUGACUAAGAUUACGAAACUAUGGGAAAAGUCCUCAAACCACGGCUAGAGUCAUAUCAUAAUAUUGGUCCCAUUAUUAUCUUACCUACAAUUAUUAUUUCUCAAUUUCUACAUGAUAUAUAUAUAUAUAUAUAUAUUUAUGUUUAUAAUAAUAUUUUAUUCUUAAAUAUACACAGAGUAAAAAUAUAUUAAUAAUCACAUUUUUAUUUCUAUAAAAUAGUGAUAAAAUAUGUAUAUGGAGUGCUUUAUCAUUUCAGGCUUCACUGAGUAAAUUUUACUGAAUAUAUUAUUGUUGUUGUUUAUUGAAUAUGAAUGCAGAUAAAAACUACUCCAGCAUUGAAUCCCACCAUCCCAAAUAACUAUUAGGUGAAAAUGACAUUUGAAAUUAACAUGCACGUAAAAAUGGAUUUGAAUAUGAAAUGAAGUUGAUUGGGUAACAAGAAAUUGAAGUCAUUUUUUAUGAGGUCCCUCUUCAUUAAACUUUCAUAUAGUUUUCAUUAUAUUGAAAUAAAUAAAAUGUGAAAAUGUAAGCAUGCACACAAUAAAUUUCAAAGUUACGUAAGAACAGUUGUGAUUGAUAAAAAUUAAUAAGUGUUUAAUUUUUUGCCUCAACAACUAAUAGAAUAUUCUCUGAAGGCCAGGUCCGGUUUCAUUUAUUUUAUUUUAGUUAAUAAUAGAGUGACAGCUCAAUCUACUAAUAAUUUUAAUAAAUAAUCAAAUUAUAAUUAAUUGAUUUAUUAAUAUAUAUUUGUGAUUAUAAGUGAUGAGUUGAAGGCUAUAAAAGCAGGGUUUGUGGAGGGUACAUUGGCACAGCAAACAUGGCUAAAAUAGCCUAUCUUCUUACCACUCUUUUAGUGGCUUUAGUGUCACUUAGCUUCCCUUCAGAAUGCAAAGCAAAUUACUACUACACAUCUCCACCUCCACCAACUCCAGUUUAUAAGUAUAAGUCUCCGCCACCACCAGUUUAUAAGUACAAGUCACCACCACCACCUCCUCCAAUCUAUAAAUCCCCACCGCCACCCAUUUAUAAGUAUAAAUCUCCACCACCACCUCCAGUUUACAAGUACAAAUCUCCACCACCACCCGUCUACAAGUACAAGUCUCCUCCACCACCACCUCCAGUUUACAAGUACAAAUCUCCACCACCACCUGUCUACAAGUACAAGUCUCCUCCUCCUCCACCUCCAGUUUAUAAGUACAAAUCUCCACCACCACCCGUCUACAAGUACAAGUCUCCCCCACCACCCGUUUACAAGUACAAGUCUCCACCACCACCUGUCUAUAAGUACAAGUCUCCACCUCCACCUGUCUACAAGUACAAGUCUCCACCACCACCAGUAUACAAGUACAAGUCUCCACCACCUCCAGUAUACAAGUACAAGUCUCCACCACCUCCAGUAUACAAGUACAAGUCUCCACCACCUCCAGUCUAUAAGUACAAGUCUCCACCUCCACCCGUUUACAAAUACAAGUCUCCACCACCUCCAGUCUAUAAGUACAAGUCUCCACCUCCACCCGUUUACAAAUACAAGUCUCCACCACCUCCAGUCUAUAAGUACAAGUCUCCACCUCCACCCGUUUACAAAUACAAGUCUCCACCACCUCCAGUCUACAAGUACAAGUCUCCACCUCCACCCGUUUACAAAUACAAGUCUCCACCACCUCCAGUCUAUAAGUACAAGUCUCCACCACCUCCAGUCUAUAAGUACAAGUCUCCACCACCUCCAGUCUACAAGUACAAAUCUCCACCACCACCCGUUUACAAAUACAAGUCUCCACCACCUCCGGUCUACAAGUACAAAUCUCCACCACCACCCGUCUACAAGUACAAGUCCCCACCACCUCCAGUCUACAAGUACAAGUCUCCACCACCACCCGUCUAUAAGUACAAGUCUCCACCACCUCCAGUCUACAAGUACAAGUCUCCACCACCACCUAUUUACAAGUACAAAUCUCCUCCACCACCAGUUUACAAAUACAAGUCACCACCACCACCCGUUUACAAAUACAAAUCACCCCCACCUCCCGUUCACAAGUCUCCAGCCCCUUACUAUUACACUUCUCC
RNAcentral lists this long non-coding RNA (37547 nucleotides) under Solanum melongena (eggplant). Its description in RNAcentral is "long non-coding RNA (SMEL_LNC000097)". Lineage: Eukaryota; Viridiplantae; Streptophyta; Magnoliopsida; Solanales; Solanaceae. The record is from RNAcentral.